AGCGGAGGAAAAGAAACUAACAAGGAUUCCCCUAGUAGCGGCGAGCGAAGCGGGAAGAGCUCAAAUUUAUAAUCUGGCACCUUCGGUGUCCGAGUUGUAAUCUCUAGAAAUGUUUUCCGCGUUGGACCGCACACAAGUCUGUUGGAAUACAGCGGCAUAGUGGUGAGACCCCCGUAUAUGGUGCGGACGCCCAGCGCUUUGUGAUACAUUUUCGAAGAGUCGAGUUGUUUGGGAAUGCAGCUCAAAUUGGGUGGUAAAUUCCAUCUAAAGCUAAAUAUUGGCGAGAGACCGAUAGCGAACAAGUACCGUGAGGGAAAGAUGAAAAGCACUUUGGAAAGAGAGUUAACAGUACGUGAAAUUGUUGGAAGGGAAACGCUUGAAGUCAGACUUGCUUGCCGAGCAAUCGGUUUGCAGGCCAGCAUCAGUUUUCCGGGAUGGAUAAUGGUAAAGAGAAGGUAGCAGUUUCGGCUGUGUUAUAGCUCUCUACUGGAUACAUCCUGGGGGACUGAGGAACGCAGUGUGCCUUUGGCGGGGGUUUCGACCUCUUCACACUUAGGAUG
This 560-nucleotide ribosomal RNA is filed under the name Rhodotorula mucilaginosa. RNAcentral describes it as "partial large subunit ribosomal RNA". It matches the Rfam family "Eukaryotic large subunit ribosomal RNA", at positions 49 to 604 of the family's 3401-position model. Lineage: Eukaryota; Fungi; Basidiomycota; Microbotryomycetes; Sporidiobolales; Sporidiobolaceae. The record is from RNAcentral.